This 256-nucleotide ribosomal RNA is filed under the name uncultured bacterium. Its description in RNAcentral is "partial 16S ribosomal RNA". It matches the Rfam family "Bacterial small subunit ribosomal RNA", at positions 524 to 776 of the family's 1533-position model. The record is from RNAcentral.
UACGUAGGCAGCAAGCGUUGUUCGGAGUUACUGGGCGUAAAGGUGCGUAGGCGGUCCGUAUAAGUAUGGUGUGAAAUCUCCCGGCUUAACUGGGAGGGUGCGCUAUAGACUGUGGGACUAGAGUGUGGGAGAGGAAAGUGGAAUUCCUGGUGUAGCGGUGAAAUGCGUAGAUAUCAGGAGGAACACCGGUGGUGUAAACGGCUUUCUGGACCAUAAACUGACGCUGGAGGCAACGAAAGCGUGGGUAGCAAACAGG